Molecule: ribosomal RNA, 253 nt
Filed under: uncultured bacterium
Lineage: Bacteria
Description: partial 16S ribosomal RNA
Rfam family: Bacterial small subunit ribosomal RNA
Source: RNAcentral
UACAGAGGGUGCAAGCGUUGUUCGGAAUUAUUGGGCGUAAAGCGCGUGUAGGCGGCUUUGCAAGUCGGGUGUGAAAUCCCUCAGCUUAACUGAGGAAGUGCGCCCGAAACUGCAGGGCUUGAGUGCCGGAGAGGGUGGCGGAAUUCCCCAAGUAGAGGUGAAAUUCGUAGAUAUGGGGAGGAACACCGGUGGCGAAGGCGGCCACCUGGCCGGUAACUGACGCUGAGACGCGAAAGCAUGGGGAGCAAACAGG